Molecule: ribosomal RNA, 253 nt
Filed under: uncultured bacterium
Lineage: Bacteria
Description: partial 16S ribosomal RNA
Rfam family: Bacterial small subunit ribosomal RNA
Source: RNAcentral
UACGUAGGGUGCGAGCGUUAAUCGGAAUUACUGGGCGUAAAGCGUGCGCAGGCGGUUUUGUAAGCCGGAUGUGAAAUCCCCGGGCUUAACCUGGGAAUGGCAUUCGGGACUGCAAGGCUGGAGUGCGGCAGAGGAGACUGGAAUUCCUGGUGUAGCAGUGAAAUUCGUAGAUAUUAGGAAGAACACCAGUGGCGAAGGCGGCUCACUGGCCCGGUACUGACGCUGAGGCGCGAAAGCGUGGGGAGCAAACAGG